GGUUGCUAGACAUCACACCAAUCACAAUCAAUACAUGCAGAUCACACAUUAUUAGUGCAGGAACAGUAGCUGUAGAUUGUGAGAUAAAAAGCAGGAGGGAAUUGUAGUUAGAUUUGAGAAAGGUUUCUUUUUGAUAUGGAAGAUCGCUACUCUUCAGGAUGGCCUGUUGCGCCUCCAGAAGCAAACUGGUCCGCAGGCAAUUCUACCGCAUAUGAUGAGUCCAGUUUGUUUCCAUACCUGCUAACGCCUCAUACCUCAACUUCAACCUCUGCCACCUCCCAAAUUAAUGGACUUCCUUCUUGGUCGAUACCGAUUCAAGAGGCUAGCCAUGGAUUUCCCUCGUGGUCUACAAUACCAGUUCAAGAGGCUGCAGAAGAUAAAGCUGCUUCUGUUUCCAAGAGCCAUAGCCAAGCUGAGAAGCGGCGCAGGGACCGGAUUAAUGCGCAGCUUGGCAUUCUCAGGAAACUAAUUCCCAAAUCAGAUAAGAUGGACAAGGCAGCUCUCCUAGCAAGUGUGAUUGAUCAAGUAAGAGAUCUUAAGGGAAAAGCAAUGGAAGUAAGCAAAAGCAUCACAAUUCCAACAGAAUUCGACGAAGUAACAGUAGACGUCGAUGAGUCUGAUGAUAUUUCUCAAGAUUUAAGCUCCACAAGCAACAAGAAGAACAAAGAAGACAAUAUCUUCGUGAGGGUGUCCUUUUGCUGCGACGAUCGGCCAGAGGUGUUCUCGGAACUCAUCAGGGUGCUCAAAGGCCUUAGACUGAGCAUAGUUAGAGCAGAUAUUGCAAGUGUAGGAGGAAGAGUUAAAAGCAUUCUUAUACUGUGCAAUAAAGAUUGUAAAGAGGAAGGAGUUUCACUUAGCACUAUCAAACAAUCACUCAAUGUAUUUUUGAGUAGAAUUUCUUCAUCCUCUAUGCCUUCAAAUUAUCGCAUUAGAAGCAAGAGGCAGAGGUUCUUUUUACCUUCUCAAUAGUUGCAUUACUAUUUCUAUUUUCUCAUAUAUAUAAAAAUUUUUAUUUGGUCCCUUGUGAUUAAAUUUUUUCACAAAUUCCCCUUUUGUUAUAAUACCAUACACAAUCG
RNAcentral lists this unclassified non-coding RNA (1076 nucleotides) under Hevea brasiliensis (rubber tree). The record is from RNAcentral. Lineage: Eukaryota; Viridiplantae; Streptophyta; Magnoliopsida; Malpighiales; Euphorbiaceae.